AGGUAACCCAGUUUACAUGUAGCUGCUGGCGGCUACAUAGUGGCGCCCAACGUGGGGCGACCUGGCACGAGAGAAUUUCUUGAGGUAGCCCUAUCCAGCGAAGCUUCGUGGAAAAGGUGAAAAUUAAUGGUGUCCGCACGAAUGCUGCAGAAGAUAUGCUGACUGUGCUUGCUGAAUGCCCAGACCAUGGGAUUCCUGAAUUAAACAGGUGACCCACCCAGCUGCCGGAGCAGUCAAGACGAAGACCUCCAAGAUAAGCUAGACAACUUCCACCGGAACUCAGCCUGGAGUCUGGGGGGAGGGUUUGCCCAAACUGUUAAAAGGUCCAGCGCCAUUAAAGUUUACGGCUUCGAUCAGUGAACAUUGACUUAGCCGUACUUUCUUUUCGCCGCUCUUCCCUAUGACCCCAAAAUUCUCUCAACAGGUAACCCAGUUUACAUGUAGCUGCUGGCGGCUA
Molecule: long non-coding RNA, 457 nt
Organism: Apodemus sylvaticus (European woodmouse)
Lineage: Eukaryota; Metazoa; Chordata; Mammalia; Rodentia; Muridae
Exons: 3
Source: RefSeq, a predicted model, not a curated record